Molecule: ribosomal RNA, 489 nt
Filed under: uncultured bacterium
Lineage: Bacteria
Description: partial 16S ribosomal RNA
Rfam family: Bacterial small subunit ribosomal RNA
Source: RNAcentral
UUGCACGCUGGCGGCAGGCCUCACACAUGCAAGUCGAACGGUAACAGGAAGAAGCUUGCUUCUUUGCUGACGAGUGGCGGACGGGUGAGUAAUGUCUGGGAAACUGCCUGAUGGAGGGGGAUAACUACUGGAAACGGUAGCUAAUACCGCAUAACGUCGCAAGACCAAAAAGGGGGACCUUCGGGCCUCUUGCCAUCGGAUGUGCCCAGAUGGGAUUAGCUAGUAGGUGGGGUAACGGCUCACCUAGGCGACGAUCCCUAGCUGGUCUGAGAGGAUGACCAGCCACACUGGAACUGAGACACGGUCCAGACUCCUACGGGAGGCAGCAGUGGGGAAUAUUGCACAAUGGGCGCAAGCCUGAUGCAGCCAUGCCGCGUGUAUGAAGAAGGCCUUCGGGUUGUAAAGUACUUUCAGCGGGGAGGAAGGGAGUAAAGUUAAUACCUUUGCUCAUUGACGUUACCCGCAGAAGAAGCACCGGCUAACUCCGUG